GAGGGAUUAGCUAAAAUGGUAGAGCGCGCGCUUAGCAUGCGCGAAGUAGCGGGACCGAUGCCCGCAUCCUCCA
RNAcentral lists this transfer RNA (73 nucleotides) under Paramuricea clavata. It matches the Rfam family "tRNA". From Rfam's summary of the family: Transfer RNA (tRNA) molecules are approximately 80 nucleotides in length. Their secondary structure includes four short double-helical elements and three loops (D, anti-codon, and T loops). Further hydrogen bonds mediate the characteristic L-shaped molecular structure. tRNAs have two regions of fundamental functional importance: the anti-codon, which is responsible for specific mRNA codon recognition, and the 3' end, to which the tRNAs corresponding amino acid is attached (by aminoacyl-tRNA synthetases). tRNAs cope with the degeneracy of the genetic code in two manners: having more than one tRNA (with a specific anti-codon) for a particular amino acid; and 'wobble' base-pairing, i.e. permitting non-standard base-pairing at the 3rd anti-codon position. Lineage: Eukaryota; Metazoa; Cnidaria; Anthozoa; Malacalcyonacea; Plexauridae. The record is from Rfam by way of RNAcentral.